RNAcentral lists this unclassified non-coding RNA (195 nucleotides) under uncultured fungus. RNAcentral describes it as "sequence contains ITS1". The record is from RNAcentral. Lineage: Eukaryota; Fungi.
UUAACUAUUAUAUAGUACUCAGACAUCACUAAACACAGAGUUUGGGUCCUCUGGCAGGCACUAUCAGCCGGAGCCGACGCCCGGAGGCGGCCUGCCAAAGCAACAAAGGUAUGUAUACACGGUUUGGGAAUAGAACCCAUUUAUAAAAAACGGGGCGAUUCUUUAAUGAUCCUUCCGCAGGUUCACCUACGGAAA